AAAUUCUGAUGGGUGGCGGAGGCGGAGGAGGAGAUACGACGAGCAGUGGGGGCGAGGAAAAUUGUACAAACCCUUGUUCUGAUGUGAAAACCCCUAAGAAACGUGCAGAGACAUGGGUACAAGAAGAAACUCGAGUACUUAUUGGUCUUCGUAGAGAAAUUGACUCUCUUUUCAACACUUCAAAGUCUAAUAAGCAUUUGUGGGACCAAAUUUCUAUGAAGAUGAGAGAAAAGGGGUUUGAUAGGUCACCUACUAUGUGUACUGAUAAAUGGAGAAAUUUGUUGAAGGAAUUCAAGAAAGCUAAACAAAAUCAAGAUAGAAAUGGCUCUGCUAAGAUGUCCUAUUAUAAGGAAAUUGACGAGAUUUUAAGAGACAGGACUAAUACCCCUCUCCCUCCCCCUCCCAAGGUUGAUUCUUUUAUGCACUUUGCUCAAAAAGGUCUUGAUGAUACAAGCAUCACAUUUGGACCCGUUGAAGAGAAUGGGAGACCAACUCUUAAUUUAGAACGACGUCUGGAUCAUGAUGGCCAUCCUCUUGCCAUAACAGCAGCAG
Molecule: unclassified non-coding RNA, 552 nt
Filed under: Hevea brasiliensis (rubber tree)
Lineage: Eukaryota; Viridiplantae; Streptophyta; Magnoliopsida; Malpighiales; Euphorbiaceae
Source: RNAcentral